RNAcentral lists this ribosomal RNA (408 nucleotides) under uncultured bacterium. RNAcentral describes it as "partial 16S ribosomal RNA". It matches the Rfam family "Bacterial small subunit ribosomal RNA", at positions 28 to 526 of the family's 1533-position model. The record is from RNAcentral.
GACGAACGCUGACGGCGUGCUUAACACAUGCAAGUCGAAGGGAGUGGCGAACGGGUGAGUAACACGUGAGUAACUUGCCCUUUUCUUUGGGAUAAGCCUGGGAAACUGGGUCUAAUCCUGGAUGGAUGGGGCUGGGGUCGCGGUGUAUCAGCGUGUUGGUGGGGUGAUGGCUUUCCAAGGCUUUGACGGGUUGCCGGCCUGAGAGGGUGGUCGGGCACGCGGGGACUGAGAUACGGCCCAGACUCCUACGGGGGGCAGCAGUGGGGGAUAUUGCACAAUGGACGAAAGUCUGAUGCAGCGACGUCGUGUGGGGGAUGAAGGCCGUCGGGUUGUAAACUCCUUUCGCCCGCGGAAUGGUAGUGGGUAAAGAAGCGCCGGCUAACUACGUGCCAGCAGCCGCGGUAAUUC